AAAUUUAUUUUAUAGUUUUGAAAACUAUUUUGCUGUGGCUAUAAAUUUA
Molecule: transfer RNA, 49 nt
Filed under: Meloidogyne javanica (root-knot nematode)
Lineage: Eukaryota; Metazoa; Nematoda; Chromadorea; Rhabditida; Meloidogynidae
Also listed under: 3 other names
Description: tRNA-Ser
Source: RNAcentral